GCCCCCAUCGUCUAGUGGACUAGGACAUGGGCCCUUCAAGCCUAAAACAGGGGUUCGAAUCCCCUUGGGGGCA
This 73-nucleotide transfer RNA is filed under the name Chloroflexota bacterium. RNAcentral describes it as "Chloroflexi bacterium (groundwater metagenome) tRNA-Glu". It matches the Rfam family "tRNA". Rfam says of the family: Transfer RNA (tRNA) molecules are approximately 80 nucleotides in length. Their secondary structure includes four short double-helical elements and three loops (D, anti-codon, and T loops). The record is from RNAcentral. Lineage: Bacteria; Bacillati; Chloroflexota.